CCUACGGGAGGCCGCAGUGGGGAAUAUUGCACAAUGGGGGAAACCCUGAUGCAGCGACGCCGCGUGAGCGAUGAAGUAUUUCGGUAUGUAAAGCUCUAUCAGCAGGGAAGAAAAUGACGGUACCUGACUAAGAAGCCCCGGCGAACUACGUGCCAGCAGCCGCGGUAAUACGUAGGGGGCAAGCGUUAUCCGGAUUUACUGGGUGGAAAGGGAGCGUAGACGGUCCUGCAAGUCAGAUGUGAAAGCCCGGGGCUCAACCCCGGGACUGCAUUUGGAACUGUAAGGCUAGAGUGUCGGAGAGGCAGGCGGAAUUCCUAGUGUAGCGGUGAAAUGCGUAGAUAUUAGGAGGAACACCAGUGGCGAAGGCGGCCUGCUGGACGAUGACUGACGUUGAGGCUCGAAAGCGUGGGGAGCAAACAGGAUUAGAUACCCUUGUAGUC
This 440-nucleotide ribosomal RNA is filed under the name uncultured bacterium. RNAcentral describes it as "partial 16S ribosomal RNA". It matches the Rfam family "Bacterial small subunit ribosomal RNA", at positions 338 to 795 of the family's 1533-position model. The record is from RNAcentral.